GACGAACGCUGGCGGCGUGCUUAACACAUGCAAGUCGAGCGGAAAGGCCACUUCGGUGGUACUCGAGCGGCGAACGGGUGAGUAACACGUGAGUAAUCUGCCCCUGGCUUUGGGAUAGCCACCGGAAACGGUGAUUAAUACCGGAUACGACCACUUCUCGCAUGGGAUGGUGGUGGAAAGUUUUUUCGGCCAGGGAUGUGCUCGCGGCCUAUCAGCUUGAUGGUGCGGUAAUGGCUCACCAUGGCUUCGACGGGUAGCCGGCCUGAGAGGGUGACCGGUCACACUGGGACUGGGACACGGCCCGGACUCCUACGGGAGGCAGCAGUGGGGAAUAUUGGACAAUGGGCGGAAGCCUGAUCCAGCAACGCCGCGUGAGGGAUGACGGCCUUCGGGUUGUAAACCUCUUUCAGCAGGGACGAAGCGCAAGUGACGGUACCUGCAGAAGAAGCACCGGCCAACUACGUGCCAGCCGCCGCAGUAA
RNAcentral lists this ribosomal RNA (481 nucleotides) under uncultured bacterium. RNAcentral's name for it is "partial 16S ribosomal RNA". It matches the Rfam family "Bacterial small subunit ribosomal RNA", at positions 28 to 523 of the family's 1533-position model. The record is from RNAcentral.